Cordylochernes scorpioides is the source of this 64-nucleotide non-coding RNA. The record is from the annotation of a GenBank genome assembly. NCBI's taxonomy places the organism in Eukaryota, Metazoa, Arthropoda, Arachnida, Pseudoscorpiones, Chernetidae.
GCAUCGGUAGUUCAAUGGCGAGAAUGCCACGCGGGCGGCUCGGGUUCGAUUCCUGGCCGAUGCA